This 464-nucleotide ribosomal RNA is filed under the name Vreelandella stevensii. RNAcentral describes it as "partial 16S ribosomal RNA". It matches the Rfam family "Bacterial small subunit ribosomal RNA", at positions 338 to 795 of the family's 1533-position model. Lineage: Bacteria; Pseudomonadati; Pseudomonadota; Gammaproteobacteria; Oceanospirillales; Halomonadaceae. The record is from RNAcentral.
CCUACGGGUGGCAGCAGUGGGGAAUAUUGGACAAUGGGGGGAACCCUGAUCCAGCCAUGCCGCGUGUGUGAAGAAGGCCCUCGGGUUGUAAAGCACUUUCAGUGAGGAAGAACGCCUGGUGGUUAAUACCCAUCAGGAAAGACAUCACUCACAGAAGAAGCACCGGCUAACUCCGUGCCAGCAGCCGCGGUAAUACGGAGGGUGGAGCGUUAAUCGGAAUUACUGGGCGUAAAGCGCGCGUAGGUGGCUUGAUAAGCCGGUUGUGAAAGCCCCGGGCUCAACCUGGGAACGGCAUCCGGAACUGUCAAGCUAGAGUGCAGGAGAGGAAGGUAGAAUUCCCGGUGUAGCGGUGAAAUGCGUAGAGAUCGGGAGGAAUACCAGUGGCGAAGGCGGCCUUCUGGACUGACACUGACACUGAGGUGCGAAAGCGUGGGUAGCAAACAGGAUUAGAUACCCUGGUAGUC